UAGCACUCCGCUGGGGAGUACGGUCGCAAGACUGAAACUCAAAGGAAUUGACGGGGGCCCGCACAAGCGGUGGAGCAUGUGGUUUAUUUGAAGCAACGCGAAGAACCUUACCAGGUCUUGACAUCCUCUGACAAUCCUAGAGAUAGGACGUCCCCUUUGGGGGCAGAGUGACAGGUGGUGCAUGGUUGUCGUCAGCUCGUGUCGUGAGAUGUUGGGUUAAGUCCCGCAACGAGCGCAACCCUUGAUCUUAGUUGCCAGCAUUCAGUUGGGCACUCUAAGGUGACUGCCGGUGACAAACCGGAGGAAGGUGGGGAUGACGUCAAAUCAUCAUGCCCCUUAUGACCUGGGCUACACACGUGCUACAAUGGACAGAACAAAGGGCAGCGAAACCGCGAGGUUAAGCCAAUCCCACAAAUCUGUUCUCAGUUCGGAUCGCAGUUUGCAANUNGANUGCGUGAAGCUGGAAUCGCUAGUAAUCGCGGAUCAGCAUGCCGCGGUGAAUACGUUCCCGGGCCUUGUACACACCGCCCGUCACACCACGAGAGUUUGUAACACCCGAAGUCGGUGAGUUAACCUUUUAGUAGCCCCCCGCCCAAUUU
Molecule: ribosomal RNA, 599 nt
Filed under: Bacillus subtilis
Lineage: Bacteria; Bacillati; Bacillota; Bacilli; Caryophanales; Bacillaceae
Description: bacterial SSU rRNA
Rfam family: Bacterial small subunit ribosomal RNA
Source: RNAcentral